AUUUGCAAAUUGCAACAAGGAACUUCGGUUUGCCAGCUACAUUCCUUGCCGAACAACAACACUUCUCAGCUUUUAUUUUAUUUUUCUUUUCUCUCUCUAAGCUUAGGAGGAGAGCCUGCGGUGUGGCCGUAGCCUGACCUAAUAGUGAUACUUUAGAUGGCAGGAAGGAACCGUGUUCAUCGAGAAUUUGACCGCCAUCGUGGUCACCUUGUAGAAGGGCCUCUUGUCCGUGGUCCUAUACCCCGGCCUAUGCCUAAUCAUCAUGCUUUAUUAGAGGAAGAACUUGAAAUGCGGCAUGUUGAUAUUCGCAGGCUUUUGGGUGAAAAUCGGAGACUGGUUGAAGACCGAAUUACUCUGCAGCAGGAGUUGGGUGCUGCUAAGGAGGAGCUACAUCGCAUGAACCUUGCUGUGGCUGAUAUUCAGGCUGAACAUGAGCUCCAUUCCAGGGAACUUAUAGAAAAGGGUCUAAAGUUGGAAGCUGAUCUUCGAGCCAUUGAACCCCUGAAAAAUGAGGCCAAUCAACUAAGGACCGAAGUUCAAAGGCUGCAUGGCAUAAAGAAGGAUCUCCAUGGGCAGGUGCAGACACUAACAAAAGACAUUUCCAAAUUGCGAGCUGAAAACCAACAGAUUCCACUUUUAAGGGUGGAGAUUGAUGGAUUACAUCAGGAGCUUUUUCAUGCUAGAUCUGCUGUUGAAUAUGAAAAGAAGGCAAAAAUUGAACUAAUGGACCAGAGACAGGGGAUGGAGAAAAACUUGGCGUCAAUGGCACAUGAAGUGGAUAAGCUACGUUCUGAGCUUGCAAAUUCUGAGGGUAGAUCUUGGGUUAACGGUGGACCGUACUCGAUAAAUUUCGGCACUCCUGAUAGCAACUUCCCAGCACCUUAUGGUGAGGGAUACGGGGGUCAUCUGGUUGCUGCCAACAAGGGCCCUUUAUAUGGUGCUGGCUCAGCUUCAUGGGGAGGACCUGAAAAGCCUCGAAUGUCUCGCCGUUGAAUUGUUCAGAUCCUGUAGUGUGCUGUCCUGUAUAAACUGGAGCAAGGAGUGUCUGAUGUCUUCCAUUUGUGCGUAAACGAUCUAGUGUCAGCUCUCUUCCCAGUUGUCCUUGAAGAUAAUUGGUUAUGUUUACUUGUAUAUGCGCGUUAAGGUUACUCUUACUGAACUAAUGGGAUCUAGCAGAAUUGGCUGGCUUACCUGAUUGAACCAACUUAAUUUUAAAAUGUCUCAGGAGAUUCUUGAGGUGAAGUUGGAGAUUACAAAAGCUGAUAAGGUAUUUUUUGAGGUGGCUCUUUUGAAAUCUUGGGCUGCAGUUGGAAAUCAUGUUUCGAAUGUGACAGAAAUAAAUGGAUUGAGAGGGUUCUGGGCAUUUUUCAGGUUGAAGGUUGGGUCAAUUGAUUAUUAGUAACAAGCACUCUCGUUAGAAGCAUUUUGUUCAAAUUAUGCAGUCACGCACCCUUGAGAAGUUUUGUCAACACUUUUGUAAGUCAUCCUUGUUGAGGUUCUGAUUUUGCCCCUACAUAUAGCAUUGUGGUUUGGUUUGGUUAGGCAAGAACUUACCGCAUCAGGAAGUUAGAGCAAUUUAGUUUAACUCAGAGAAGUGCAGAGUUCCAUGAGAGAAGUAGCCACCAAUUCAAGUGCUUCAGAAAGAUCAAGUGGUUGAUCAUGCAAAUUGACGAGACUUGCUCUUGAAAUGUUUGAUCUGAUCAGAGUGUGGUUUUCAGUUAUCAUCUCUGGUGUGGAUGUUUUGCAGUCCACACGUUUGAUCCAGUGUCAACUCGACAAGGAUGUGAGAGAGAUGGCUUAGUACUGUGCAGCUAUACCACAGACAGACAUUUAUCAGUUUCUUUUGGAGUUUUGGUUCCAGGGCCAACUGUGAGGAGAUGGCUGCGGUUUUAGGGAUGAAGCAAUUGAAAAGACUGAAAUGCCCUUAGAUUAAACAGCUAAAGGCGGUAAUUCAGUUGAGGAUCAAAAGUGGCAGAAAAUAAAAACUUGAAGGAUUAGAAAUGUUCGAUUUGAAAGGUGAUUUACAAAAGUGGCAUAUUUCUCAAUACUUGGGAGGAUCAAAAUUGGUAUUAAUUCAACUAAAUAAAUACGUGAUCCCCUUCCCUAUAGCAACACUUGAGCUUGGUUUUAACUCCUCUUGAGCUAAAUAAAUACCAAUCUAUACUAUUAAUAAAAACAAUAUCAUCAGUUUUAA
Molecule: RNA transcript, 2194 nt
Organism: Ipomoea triloba (trilobed morning glory)
Lineage: Eukaryota; Viridiplantae; Streptophyta; Magnoliopsida; Solanales; Convolvulaceae
Gene name: protein FLX-like 3
Exons: 6
Source: RefSeq, a predicted model, not a curated record